Molecule: ribosomal RNA, 841 nt
Filed under: Staphylococcus hominis
Lineage: Bacteria; Bacillati; Bacillota; Bacilli; Caryophanales; Staphylococcaceae
Description: bacterial SSU rRNA
Rfam family: Bacterial small subunit ribosomal RNA
Source: RNAcentral
ACUGCAAGUCGAGCGAACAGACGAGGAGCUUGCUCCUUUGACGUUAGCGGCGGACGGGUGAGUAACACGUAGGUAACCUACCUAUAAGACUGGGAUAACUUCGGGAAACCGGAGCUAAUACCGGAUAAUAUUUCGAACCGCAUGGUUCGAUAGUGAAAGAUGGCUUUGCUAUCACUUAUAGAUGGACCUGCGCCGUAUUAGCUAGUUGGUAAGGUAACGGCUUACCAAGGCAACGAUACGUAGCCGACCUGAGAGGGUGAUCGGCCACACUGGAACUGAGACACGGUCCAGACUCCUACGGGAGGCAGCAGUAGGGAAUCUUCCGCAAUGGGCGAAAGCCUGACGGAGCAACGCCGCGUGAGUGAUGAAGGUCUUCGGAUCGUAAAACUCUGUUAUUAGGGAAGAACAAACGUGUAAGUAACUGUGCACGUCUUGACGGUACCUAAUCAGAAAGCCACGGCUAACUACGUGCCAGCAGCCGCGGUAAUACGUAGGUGGCAAGCGUUAUCCGGAAUUAUUGGGCGUAAAGCGCGCGUAGGCGGUUUUUUAAGUCUGAUGUGAAAGCCCACGGCUCAACCGUGGAGGGUCAUUGGAAACUGGAAAACUUGAGUGCAGAAGAGGAAAGUGGAAUUCCAUGUGUAGCGGUGAAAUGCGCAGAGAUAUGGAGGAACACCAGUGGCGAAGGCGACUUUCUGGUCUGUAACUGACGCUGAUGUGCGAAAGCGUGGGGAUCAAACAGGAUUAGAUACCCUGGUAGUCCACGCCGUAAACGAUGAGUGCUAAGUGUUAGGGGGUUUCCGCCCCUUAGUGCUGCAGCUAACGCAUUAAGCACUCCGCCUGG